Molecule: long non-coding RNA, 1088 nt
Organism: Serinus canaria (Common canary)
Lineage: Eukaryota; Metazoa; Chordata; Aves; Passeriformes; Fringillidae
Source: Ensembl
AUUUUAUUUGAUGGCAGAUAGUUAUAUAUUUGUAGAUUUCCUUAAUUGUUUUGUUUGGGUUUUUUUUGUGGGACACUUUACUUGAUUAUGGUUCUCCUAUUAGCAGUGGGUAGUACAGUCAAAAGCUUCUUUGAUGUCUCUUCUCUGUUUGUACAGGCUAUGUUGCAAGACUCAGUCAUGGUUUUAAAAUGUAAACUCUCUUACUCUCAGUUGCUGGCCGCUGGUUUUGCCCCGCGUACGGGUGUAGAACACGGGGAACAUCCUGGCAGCCCCUCACACGGCGGGGAUGAGCCAGGGCUGUGCCUGGGGAGCGGCGGGAGGUGAAGGCGGUACCGCCGUGGAAGGAGACGUGGCUGGAGGUGAGAACACAGAAUCACAGAACCCUCGGGAUUAGGAGGGACCCCGGAGAUCAUCCGGCCGGCCCCGCUGCCGAGACAGGGUCACCUGCCGCUGGUGACACGGGAGCACAUCCAGGCGGGUUCGGAAUGUCUCCAGAGAGGGAGACUCCGCCACCGCCCUGGGCAGCCUGUUCCAGUGCUCUGCCAGCCUCAACGUAAACAAGUUCUUCCUCAUGUUGAGGUGGAACUUCUUGUGUUUUGUUUUAUGGCCAGCCCUACCCGUCCUGUCGCUGGCACCACUGAGAAGAGUCUGACACAUCCUCUUGGCACGGGCCUUUGAGACAUUUAUAUGCACUGAGAAGGGCCAUCAUGAGUCUUCUCCGGACUAACGCGCCCUCAGCACCCGCAUACGUGUUACAAAGGACCGACCGCGGGUCAUUUGCUUUCCCCACGAACCAACGCAGUACUGGGACCCAGCGGGGAGCGAGGCGUGUCUGUUCCGGUGCUACCGUGACGACUUCCAGAACGGCCACGCGAGUUCCUGAUCCAGGUGUUGGAGCGGGUGAAGGCUGGGAGGCGAGCCGAGGGCGAGUACCCGUUCCUCAUGGACGAAGGCAACGUGGACGCCAUGUUCAGCCUGCUGGAUGUCCUAGGCCAGGGCUCCAUCAGGCCCGCGCAGUACAGGGAAGGUGCGUCCGCCCGCACCCCUGCCACACCAAACUGCUCACUUGCCCAGAACUAUUAAAAUAG